This 177-nucleotide unclassified non-coding RNA is filed under the name plant metagenome. Its description in RNAcentral is "partial contains small subunit ribosomal RNA and internal transcribed spacer 1". The stretch from base 1 to 46 matches the Rfam family "Eukaryotic small subunit ribosomal RNA", at positions 1786 to 1831 of the family's 1831-position model. The record is from RNAcentral.
AAGUCGUAACAAGGUCUCCGUAGGUGAACCUGCGGAGGGAUCAUUAACGAGUAAGGGCCGAAAGGCCCGACCUCCAACCCUUUGUUUGCGAAACCCCGUUGCCUCGGGGGCUCCGGCCCCCGUCGGGCCACUAAACACUGCAUCUUUGCGUCUGAGUAAUUUUUAAAUAAAUUAAAA